Canis lupus familiaris (dog) is the source of this 724-nucleotide long non-coding RNA. RefSeq lists it as uncharacterized. NCBI's taxonomy places the organism in Eukaryota, Metazoa, Chordata, Mammalia, Carnivora, Canidae. The record is from RefSeq and is a predicted model, not a curated record. The transcript is spliced from 3 exons.
CGAGGCCGGCAGCGGGGUGGCUGCCCGGGGCAGCAGGCUGCGCCUCCACAAGCCAAUUUUAGAAAAUCUGAGGAAGAGGAACUAGAAUAUUUUUUUUUCCUUUUUGCCUUGGACCUAAUUACAACCUUAUGCCAGCUAAAGCGAUGCCACAUCUCCUCAUCACAGCAGAGAGGCCUCUAGGUGAAAUCAUGGAGAAGACGACAAGGCCGGAAGUGCAAAGAGAGGGGGCCCGGGUGAAAGCCCAGCUCGGGCUGCUGCCCGGGUGCCUGCGGGCUUGUUCAGCGGCGGGCCCCUUGGAAGUUCCGCAGAGAUAGUUUGAAAAUACUGUAACAAAAAAGAAAAACCUGCAUUGUAUCAAAUAUGAGGCAUAUGACUAGGAAUAAUAGAAGGCUUUUAAAAAUGUGUAAAUGGGAGGUAAUAACCUCACAGAGAUCUUUUGUUACCAGACCCUCCUAUUUUACAGCAAAUGGAACAGCACCGCCCAACAGAAGCAAAACGCUGCUCAGCAAAUGCUGCCCGGGGAUGGGAGGCAAGGUUCCUGGGAGCCGUAUUUUAAAAAGUAAAAAGGAACAGCCUAGUACGCAUCUCAGUGAGGGCACUGAACAGCCCAUCCCAAGGCAGACCGGACACACUCCAGGUGCGCAGGAGCAGCGCCGCACCGCGCCGGACAGCACCGACCCAGGACCGGGGGAGGAAGCCAGGUUCCACCACCGCCAGCAAAUAC